CACCCCUGGCUGAUCUCACCUCACACCCAGCACCCCUAUCUCAUCUCAUGGCUCCCUGGGCGUGGGCUGCAGCCCCAGGAGAACACUGGCUGCUCAUCACUUCUGUCUUCACACCACUCCCAGGGCCCAGCACCAGGCCUGCCUGCUGGGUUUCCACUGCCUCCCUCUAGCCUCAUUAUCACCCGAAGCAUGUCUAAACAGAGCUGCUGGACGGCUGGUUCAUCGCCCAGGAAAUCCCAGCUAAGUUAACUGAGGCAGACAGAAGCAGUGGGUCAGACAGCUGGUGUCCGAAGCCAGACUCAUUUGAACUCUGAUCUUCCUGAGGUCAAGCGCUGCGCUCUAUCCACUGAGCCACCUAGCCUGGAACAUAUGGCUGGCUUUAGGAGUCGGGAAUGGCUGAUAACCUCUGCCACAGAUUCAAAGAGCUAUCUGCUUGGGCUUCUCCGCCCUGCCCCCAAACUGGGCAGAGAACAGGUGGUCUUGACGCCCUGAGUUGGCACAAAGAGCCUUCACAGCCCUGAGCCCAGGGGAGGGUCCCAGCAUGACCAGAAAACCAGCAAAGCAGCCAGCAUCCUACCUAUGGCCAGAAAACAUCGAUGGCCCUGCGGGUCAAAGGGGUGGGCAGCUCUGGCCCUGGAGGACUGUCUUUCACACACGGCCCCAACCCUGAACAUCCCAGGCAUGUGCUACUCCAUGCACAUUUCUGAGGCAUAGAUAUUCUCCCCACUGAUGCUGAGUGUUUGUGGUACAGCAGGGCCCAGGUGACCCAGGGAGAAUGCUCUCCUGCUGACUGUCUGAGCAUGCUAUCUCAUUGAAUGCCUUUGUUGGGAACUCACCAUUUCCUCUGGCUGACACACUGAAGGGGACUCAGGAGCUACGGUUUUGAGUGGAUUCAGACCCACACAGUGUCUUGAGUGCACAUUAGCUUUUCUGGUGGCCUCACAUACAAGAUGGGGGUGCCCCAGAUUCGUCCAGCACAAUAAAUGCCAGUUGACAUGAGCAGCCUUAGCAAGAUGUGGCUAAAGAGAAACCCAGCGACCUC
Molecule: long non-coding RNA, 1042 nt
Organism: Phascolarctos cinereus (koala)
Lineage: Eukaryota; Metazoa; Chordata; Mammalia; Diprotodontia; Phascolarctidae
Source: RefSeq, a predicted model, not a curated record